GGGGGUAUAGCUCAGUGGGAGAGCAUCUGCUUUGCACGCAGAGGGUCUAGGGUUCAAAUCCCUAUACUUCCA
RNAcentral lists this transfer RNA (72 nucleotides) under Caudoviricetes sp. RNAcentral's name for it is "tRNA-Ala". It matches the Rfam family "tRNA". Rfam says of the family: Transfer RNA (tRNA) molecules are approximately 80 nucleotides in length. Their secondary structure includes four short double-helical elements and three loops (D, anti-codon, and T loops). Lineage: Duplodnaviria; Heunggongvirae; Uroviricota; Caudoviricetes. The record is from RNAcentral.